This 274-nucleotide ribosomal RNA is filed under the name uncultured bacterium. RNAcentral describes it as "partial 16S ribosomal RNA". It matches the Rfam family "Bacterial small subunit ribosomal RNA", at positions 523 to 796 of the family's 1533-position model. The record is from RNAcentral.
AUACGGAGGGGACUAGCGUUGUUCGGAAUUACUGGGCGUAAAGCGUACGUAGGCGGAUCGGAAAGUAUAGGGUGAAAUCCCAGGGCUUAACCCUGGAACUGCCUUAUAAACUCCCGGUCUUGAGUUCGAGAGAGGUGAGUGGAAUUCCGAGUGUAGAGGUGAAAUUCGUAGAUAUUCGGAGGAACACCAGUGGCGAAGGCGGCUCACUGGCUCGAUACUGACGCUGAGGUACGAAAGUGUGGGGAGCAAACAGGAUUAGAUACCCUAGUAGUCC